GGGUGGUUGGCGCAAUGGUAGCGCGUUGGUUUUCGGUUAUCGGAAGACACCAAAGGUUGUGGGUUCGAGCCCCAUGCUGCUCG
This is a non-coding RNA of Coniosporium tulheliwenetii, 83 nucleotides long. NCBI's taxonomy places the organism in Eukaryota, Fungi, Ascomycota, Dothideomycetes. The record is from the annotation of a GenBank genome assembly.